RNAcentral lists this ribosomal RNA (461 nucleotides) under uncultured bacterium. RNAcentral's name for it is "bacterial SSU rRNA". It matches the Rfam family "Bacterial small subunit ribosomal RNA", at positions 29 to 524 of the family's 1533-position model. The record is from RNAcentral.
AACGAACGCUGGCGGCAUGCCUAACACAUGCAAGUCGAACGGGAUCCUGGCUUCGGCCAGGUGAGAGUGGCGGACGGGUGAGUAACGCGUGGGAACCUGCCCAUUGGUCUGGGAUAACUGCGGGAAACUGCAGCUAAUACCGGAUGUACCCGAGAGGGGAAAGAUUUAUCGCCGAUGGAGGGGCCCGCGUCAGAUUAGGUAGUUGGUGAGGUAACGGCUCACCAAGCCUACGAUCUGUAGCUGGUCUGAGAGGAUGAUCAGCCACACUGGGACUGAGAUACGGCCCAGACUCCUACGGGAGGCAGCAGUGGGGAAUAUUGGACAAUGGGGGGCAACCCUGAUCCAGCAAUGCCGCGUGAGUGAUGAAGGCCUUAGGGUGUAAAGCUCUUUUACCAGGGACGAUGAUGACGGUACCUGGAGAAUAAGCCCCGGCUAACUUUCGUGCCAGCAGCCGCGGUAAU